GCUUAUAUUCACCUUAGAUGGAUCAGCGAUGGGUUUAUGACGGCCAACACAACUACCACUUUCCGUGUUUUCGCAGGAAUUUCUGGACUCGUGAUUGUUGUGUUCAUUGCUUCGGUUUCUGUCGCAGCGGUAAAAUAUUGCCGAUCCCGGGAGUCCAAAUGCAUUUCCAAAUCAAAACAACCACAAUCAUCACUGAUUUGUGUCAAUUACAAGAAAGCAGUAAGAAAAUACAUUGAACGAGGUAAAAUGACACACGCUAUUAAGAGAGUGAAAAUUUACAAAUCAAAUAUAACAGAUUUACGAGACGAAUUUUCACACGUUCUACAACAUGUAUGGAAAGAACAUGCACACUUAAUAGGACAAGGAAAAGAUGCUAAAGGGCUUGCACAUUCCUACAUGGAUAUUCAAAGUAUUAGAAAUGUUAACAAUCAAAACGUUUUGUUUAGAUACUGUUGUCGAAGACAGGCAAACUGUGAAUUUACUGAAUCAGUAGGUGGUACUUUAAAAAAUCUUCAUGAAUACAAAAACGGAGGUGGCUUGGUUUUUCUAACACAAAGUAUUGACGCUGACGGUGUUUUUCAAAGAAAUCGUACUUUUUCAAGAGAGCAGUGGUCUAACAAUUUUGACAAAAGAAUCAAUGAAUAUUACCUCUUCUACGGGACAAUCUCUUUAAACGCAGAAUCCAUUGCAAUUUAGGGAUUUGACGUGAAUAAAUGCAAAGUUCCUUCAAUGCUCGGGAGAGGGAUUUAUUUCACAGAUAGCCUCGUGAAAGCCGAUCAGUACACACAACCAGAUGAUAGCGAGAUGUGCUGCGUGAUAAUGGCACGAGUUCUUCUCGGAGACUUUGAAGUUGCCCCGAGUCGUUCUGGUAUUCCGUCUACAAGCCAUCAGCCGCCAUGCAAGAAAUGCAUGACCACCUUAUGUAGUAACAAGUCAGACAAUCAACAUCCGAGAUUUGAUUCAGUCGUCUUCACUGGUGGAUUGUAUAAGGAAUCUGUUAUCUAUGAUAAUUUGGCAAGCUUAUCCAGAAUUUAUCAUUCUCUAUAAACGUUUGUAAAAGCAAUUAAGGUCAAACUUAAUAAAGAUUUGUUUGGAUUUUUUCGUUCAUUGAAAGAGGGAAACACGUAAAAUAAAGUGUCUGACAUUUUA
This is a long non-coding RNA of Dreissena polymorpha, 1149 nucleotides long. RefSeq lists it as uncharacterized. The transcript has 3 exons. The record is from RefSeq and is a predicted model, not a curated record. Lineage: Eukaryota; Metazoa; Mollusca; Bivalvia; Myida; Dreissenidae.